GUGUCGCGUCCCGGGACCGGACGACAGGAGGCAUGUUCUGCGCUAGCACCGUGACUUUGUUCCCAGCGUGGGGACUGUGGGAGAGAUGGAGAGAGACUGGUACAGAAAUGGUGAGACAAGGAGAGAGCCAUAAAGAGGAAGACAGAGAGAAAGAAGACAAAUGCAUAAAGAGGUUCAGAGACGUGUGACUGUGGAGAUCGAAGGCCUGGUUUUAGGGCUAGCGAACACCUUCUCCCUUUGGUUUUGGUCCACAGAAGACUGGUGAUACAGAGCAUCCUCGCCAGGAGAGGCAGAGUCCAUGGAGCAGCCGAGACAGCUGUGGAAGAGAAGGUGCCAUGCGGAGCUACUGAGAGAGAGGGAAGGGCACCCCAUCACUACACACAGCAAAAAAUGACCUUCUGCCAAAGAAGCUGAUGGUUCAGGAAGAAAAUAGAGCUGACUAUCCCUGAAGGAAAAGGAAACGUGGUACUGUUUUGCUUUAUCACAAAUACAAACAAAAGGUUUAAAGAUGGAAAGAAAAGAACAGAAAGGAAAAAGAGUGAAAAGCCAGGAAAAGCACCUAGGAGGAAUAGCCCUCUGCUGCCAUACU
Homo sapiens (human) is the source of this 589-nucleotide long non-coding RNA. Ensembl annotates it as AJUBA divergent transcript. Its record names the gene AJUBA-DT. The record is from Ensembl. NCBI's taxonomy places the organism in Eukaryota, Metazoa, Chordata, Mammalia, Primates, Hominidae.